Non-coding RNA from Populus trichocarpa (black cottonwood), 426 nucleotides. Lineage: Eukaryota; Viridiplantae; Streptophyta; Magnoliopsida; Malpighiales; Salicaceae. The record is from Rfam.
ACUUGGGUUGGUUUUUAAUUUUGCUAUGGAUUGUGUGUUCAUGUGAUCACGAGGUUCGCAUCACCUACAAGUCGUGAACUUCUUUUCCUGUAGAAGAAGUAAUGAUGGUAUCUGGUUAAUAAGCAUCGACUAACUUUGUGCUAGCAACUACAAAAAUAUAGAAGAUGCAAAUGACAUCUAAAAUGAUUGAGCAUAAAGUGUUUAUAGAUGGUUUUUUAAGUUUGCUAUAAAAUCCUAGGGCUCAACCUUAGAUCGGCUGUGGAAAUUGCCAAGCUAGAGUAUGGUAGAGACAGAGGAAAUUUCCAAUGGAGCGGUGAAAUGCAUAGGGUUUGUUUGGAUCAAUCCCAGUCAAUCCAAUAUUUUACUAUCUUAAUAUUUUUAAAAAAACUAUCAUCUAAUAUAUCACUAUAAUAUAUCACUAUUUUA